RNAcentral lists this transfer RNA (73 nucleotides) under Stegodyphus mimosarum. It matches the Rfam family "tRNA". From Rfam's summary of the family: Transfer RNA (tRNA) molecules are approximately 80 nucleotides in length. Their secondary structure includes four short double-helical elements and three loops (D, anti-codon, and T loops). Lineage: Eukaryota; Metazoa; Arthropoda; Arachnida; Araneae; Eresidae. The record is from Rfam by way of RNAcentral.
GACUUUGUGGUGUAGUGGUGAGCACACUCGGCGCAUAUUCGUGAGGUCUGUGGUUCGAAACCCGGCGAGGGCA